RNAcentral lists this non-coding RNA (190 nucleotides) under Roseovarius aestuarii. The record is from RNAcentral. Lineage: Bacteria; Pseudomonadati; Pseudomonadota; Alphaproteobacteria; Rhodobacterales; Roseobacteraceae.
GACAAGGUCAAAUUCCGAGGUGCCGCUUGUCAGAGCGGAGAAUUGGGAAGCCGGUGCAAUUCCGGCGCUGCCCCCGCAACGGUAAGGAUGGGGGAUGCCGCAAGAGACCACUGGGCCGUGAUAGCCUGGGAAGGCGCUGCAUCCAAAAAACCCGCCAAGUCCGGAAACCAGCCUUGGAGAAACGUCAAAC